This is a long non-coding RNA of Thamnophis elegans (Western terrestrial garter snake), 560 nucleotides long. RefSeq lists it as uncharacterized. The transcript has 3 exons. Lineage: Eukaryota; Metazoa; Chordata; Lepidosauria; Squamata; Natricidae. The record is from RefSeq and is a predicted model, not a curated record.
ACCACCACCUGUGUUUUCUGAAAAUGUUACUGGCAAAGACCGUUUACCUUCAAUUUUGGCUUCAGGUGUUCUAAAAUGUGACGGAGAUUUUUGAUGUCAUUUCUAAGCCCCCUUUCAAAGUCUGGGAUGGAGAAUGAAGCGGAGCAUUUUUCCACAUAUUUCUUCACAUCUUUGUUAUUUUCCAGUUGCCGGGCCUUGGAUUCUAUUUCCAGGAGUUGGUCUUCCAGGCUGCAGAGAUCUUGGGCAAUAUUCUGUGUGGGAAUACAACUUUUCGGGUUACUUCAGGACAAAAAAUGAAAAGAGGAGGAGCGAGCUAUCGGCGCUCCUCUCGUUUUUUUUGGCGUCACCUCCAGGAAGAUAUCCAACUUCUGUCUCAGCGCUGGGAUGUCCAGCUGCUUGAAUUCGGUCCCGUAACGUUCGGAUUUCUUCAGGCUCUGAAUCUCCAUCAGCAGCUUGAGUUGCUUCAAGUUCUCGUCCAGCAGGAUACACCACCACCCGAAAUUCUUGAGAUGUUUGCUGCUUGACAUGGGAGGAAGGCCACAGGUGGACGCUGAAUGCCC